AAUAGAUACCCUGGUAGUCCACGCCCUAAACUAUGUCAACUAGUUGUCGGGGAAGAAAUUCCUUGGUAACGCAGCUAACGCGUGAAGUUGACCGCCUGGGGAGUACGGCCGCAAGGUUAAAACUCAAAGGAAUUGACGGGGACCCGCACAAGCGGUGGAUUAUGUGGAUUAAUUCGAUGCAACGCGAAAAACCUUACCUACCCUUGACAUGUACGGAAUUCCGCAGAGAUGUGGAAGUGCCCGAAAGGGAACCGUAACGCAGGUGCUGCAUGGCUGUCGUCAGCUCGUGUCGUGAGAUGUUGGGUUAAGUCCCGCAACGAGCGCAACCCUUGCCAUUAGUUGCUACAUUCAGUUGGGCACUCUAAUGGGACCGCCGGUGACAAACCGGAGGAAGGUGGGGAUGACGUCAAGUCCUCAUGGCCCUUAUGGGUAGGGCUUCACACGUAAUACAAUGGUCGGUACAGAGGGCUGCCAACCCGCAAGGGGGAGCUAAUCCCAGAAAGCCGAUCGUAGUCCGGAUUGUAGUCUGCAACUCGACUGCAUGAAGCCGG
Molecule: ribosomal RNA, 551 nt
Filed under: uncultured bacterium
Lineage: Bacteria
Description: bacterial SSU rRNA
Rfam family: Bacterial small subunit ribosomal RNA
Source: RNAcentral